RNAcentral lists this ribosomal RNA (254 nucleotides) under uncultured bacterium. Its description in RNAcentral is "partial 16S ribosomal RNA". It matches the Rfam family "Bacterial small subunit ribosomal RNA", at positions 524 to 776 of the family's 1533-position model. The record is from RNAcentral.
UACGGGGGGAGCAAGCGUUGUUCGGAUUUACUGGGCGUAAAGGGCGCGUAGGCGGCCAGCACAGGUCAGUUGUGAAAUCUCCGGGCUUAACUCGGAAAGGUCAACUGAUACUGUGCGGCUAGAGUGCAGAAGGGGCAACUGGAAUUCUCGGUGUAGCGGUGAAAUGCGUAGAUAUCGAGAGGAACACCUGCGGCGAAGGCGGGUUGCUGGGCUGACACUGACGCUGAUGCGCGAAAGCCAGGGGAGCGAACGGG